RNAcentral lists this long non-coding RNA (543 nucleotides) under Brassica rapa (field mustard). RNAcentral's name for it is "long non-coding RNA (BRAP_LNC007383)". Lineage: Eukaryota; Viridiplantae; Streptophyta; Magnoliopsida; Brassicales; Brassicaceae. The record is from RNAcentral.
AGAGACUAGCGUUGAUCGUCGGCUGUAACGGUGGGCCAAGAACCAGCACUGGAUUCAAAACCACCAGGUCAACACCUUUCUCCUCUGCCGUUUCCCACGCGGCUUGCUCCGCCACCAUCUUGCCGUAACAAUACCAAUUCUAUAAAACACAUAAAACAUUUAGUAGACCAAAUAUAAAAAACUAACUAUUUAAUUUGAGUUAGACAUCAAAGUAUUUUAGUUUUAGUUUUCAUGUUUGUUAAGUGCAAAAGCAUAUAUGAUUGAAGCCUUGGAUAUUUCAAGCAUAGAAUUGUAGAAAGUGUUAUUUACAAUAAACUAUUAACUUUUUUAUUAUUUUCACACCAAAUCUUAAUUGGUAAAUUAUAGGAAUAAAGUCAAGACCUUGGUGUUUUUGCAGAACUCAAGAUCACUCCAACAACUUUCGUCAACGACGGCUUCAGGGUCACGGUUCGGGUCCAUGUAAACCGCACCAAUUGACGAGGUGAUGACCACGCGCUUCACCUUGGCUUCAGCUGCAGCAUUAAUUACAAACUUGGCUCCGUU